Lytechinus pictus (painted urchin) is the source of this 3222-nucleotide long non-coding RNA. RefSeq lists it as uncharacterized. The record is from RefSeq and is a predicted model, not a curated record. Lineage: Eukaryota; Metazoa; Echinodermata; Echinoidea; Temnopleuroida; Toxopneustidae. The transcript is spliced from 2 exons.
AGACGCCAUUUGAACCGUGAGGAGAAAGGAGUUCGCCAGUCCAGUUCUCUCCGCCGUUUCAGCUCUGACAUCAUCUCGAAGCAGCUGGGUCUGGCGGGCUCGGUAUUGUAUACACAGUAUCACACUUCUAACAGUUUGGAUCGAGGGAUUUUAGUCAGCCUGUAGCUGUAAGCGAAUUUCUCACGACUUACCACCCAGCCUCUCGCACCAAUCACGGAGAUUGCACAUGCGUCAAUAUUCCAUGAGCUGAAAUGUAAUCUGGCAGUCGUCAUUAUGAUUACUUAGAGCAUUAAUGAUUCAACACGGAUAUUCGACAUGGUCUGAAUGUUCCACGUGUAAUGUUGUAAUGAAAUCAAGUCAAUCGAAAGCCUAAUAUGUAUUCAUGUGGUGUUAAUCUGGUUUGGCCACAUACCUUUUGUAUACAUACACAGCAAAAACUGUGGUGUUAACCGGUGUACAUAGAGGACUACACCAAUUAUUUUACACCGGAGGUAUAUUGAAAUAGUUAGUUUAACACCUAUAGGUGUUAUUACAACACCUUUGUUUUUGACAUUUACACUCUUUGGUUUUAUGUUCAAUUUCUAGGGUGUAAUUUUAACACCUCAGGAUGUGGUCUUCUAUUAACACCAACUGGUGUCAGUUUUAACACCAUAGUUUUUACAGUGUAGCAAGAUCAAUUUUAUUCGAUAAAGGGCGUAUUUCGUUUGUUAUUCGUCAUUCGUUUGGUAUAUAGCUAUAUAUGUUUUAUUAUUUUAGAGUAAAGAUGUAUAUUGAUUGCUCCGCAUUUAUGAUCGUUGAAUUUUACAUUUUAAGAGAUCGAAUACCGUUCAUUUUUUAAUUUUUUUUGUGUAUUAAGAAUGGGCGAAAUCGAUGUCUUCAGUGUUUCGAAAAGAUCCCACGUUAAAUUUAGAAUUUGGUGAGCAUAAUUAUAUAUUAUAAAGAUUUAAAUAAUAAAUGAAUAAAGAUUUUAUUAUGUAACAACACAAUCCUCUCGGCUUCUCAAACGUAUAUUAAAAAAAUGUAUUUACUGUUAUUUGUAUAGAUUUUGGUAUAAUAUUUCCGAUCUCAUACCACCAUACUUGCAAAAAAAAGACCAACACUGUAAAAACGCUGUUUAAAAUUUUAAGCGCGUUGUGUAAGCCCGUCACUGUAACAACUUUUUAAACAACUGUUUAAACUUAGUAUACGCACUUAGUAUACAUGGUAAACAGACUAUGGCCCGUAUUCUGAAGUCAGGUUUAACUUAGACCAUGGUCUAAGUCUGUGCUCAAGUUAUGGGGAGCCAAAAACUCUAACAUUCUGUUUUUAUUGUAUAUUUCUUAUGUUUACUAUUUUGUUUCCUUUUGAUUUCAUAAUGAUGAAAAUACUUCAAAAUACUUCAUUCCCUGACAAUUUGGAUGUCAUAUGAGUUAAUAAAUUGGAUGUGUACUGUUAGGGAUUAGUGCCCCAAUUGGCUCUCCAUAUUUAAACCACAACUUUAAACCCGAGUUCGGAAUACGGGCCUAUGGCGUAGGCCUACAUUACGCGAAAGAAAAUUCGCAAUUGUAUUACCAUACAUAGACCGAAAAUUACACCUGAUCAGUAUACAUUGUGUGGCGUAAAACUCUAGCCGUCGAAGACAGAAUUUGUAAUUUAGUAUAUUUUAAACCUCGAAGCUGAAAACACCCCAAAUGUGUUUCAUAUUUUUAGUGAAAACUUUCAAUAACGAAGUACCGAAAACAAACACUUUCGGCACAUUUUGUGCUCAAUAUGUGGUGAGUGACCCCGGAACCUGCAUGUAGUUCUUAAAUGAUCACAAUUGAAUGAUAGUUUGGAAUUGUUUUUUUUUUAUUGAAAAUAGUGGCAACAGAUAAAUGGUAUACAGUAUUAUAAUUUCCGUUGACAUAACAUCGCCCUGUUUGGAGUCGGUUUCGUUACUAAGACUGCGGCAUUAAUUGAUAUGGUAAAACUAUGACGAAAAUGAUAAAAAGCUAAUAUACAAUGCUUAUCGUUAUUGUUACUGUGAUAUUAUACGAUUAAUCAUCUUUACUGUAUACAUUUUUAAACAAUCCAUUCACCUUCGGUUCGCUUCAUUUACAACAGCAUGAAGGUUUUUUAAUUGAAUAAUAGAUUCGUUAUGUGAAAAUAACGGUAACUUAAAUGAAUUUGACCAUUUUGUUAUGUAAAUUAAACAGAAAUCAUUAUUUCUUUGCUGAAUUAUGUAACAUUUUUCUGGGGAAAAGAGUAGUGAAACUGUGAAAAAUAGGACAUUACUACCAUCGCCUGAGUGAACAGACUGGAAUUAUUGUAUGGAAUUAUAUUUUUGUUAUUAACGGUAGCAUUGUCAAUCUGAACGUAGAAUGUUCAUAAUGUAUAUUGAUACGUAUUAUUGUCAAUUUUUUUUUCUUUUAAAUACGAUCCAAACCGAAUUAAUUUGGAUUUUUGCGAAAUGAUCAAAUCCUUCCUCUAAGUGUUAUAGCUGUAUAAUCGAUGGAAGAAAGAGUUUUAUUCAAUAUUUAUUGUCACACCUCCGAUUACUUCAGAAUGACAGUCUAUGAUGUUUUUUUUUCCCGAGAAUGUGAUUGGAAUUUCGUGAAUUAAUUGAAAUGAAUGCGAACUAAAUUGCAAUUGUAUUUUUAUAAUUUCCAUGUUUACUACAAAGUUAAUGAUCUCAUGUAUAUUUGUUUGAAUAUUAUUUUCUUUCUGUCUGUUCUGGACCAAAACUUACUUAAAUUGAAUGAAUUUGGAAUUAUAUAUUUAAAACUGUUAUUGAAGAAAUGUCAGAGCUUAACCAAAGAAAUGCUUUUUUAAAGUUCCAAUAGCAGUAUUUUUUGUCUGUUUUCCUUUGCAUAGGAAACAAUGACAUGUGUAAAAUGAUUACUAGGUCUUUUCUGUGUUGGUCCAUAUUUAGUUGUGUUGGGUAUAUGCAGGUUUGUGAAUAUGUUGUUACAAGAAGUAUCUUUUAGUAGUUUCUAGAAAUUUACUUGCAAUCAAUUUUCCAUUAUCAGUAAUGAAUUUCUGAGUGAUAGAUCAAUUUUAAGUAUAAAAAUCAGUAUGAUUUUUAUCACAAGAAGUGGAUCCAGAAGUUAAAUGUAAAUUUGUAAUUAAUCGCAAGACUUAUUAUUGAUUUAACGAUCAAAAUUUUAAUUUCAAUCGAUUGCGAGUUAAACCCUAUGUAGAGUAAGAUGACAUCAAAGUCAGCAUGAAGCUGUUGAGUUUCAAUAAAUGUAUUUUUGCACUGAA